RNAcentral lists this ribosomal RNA (373 nucleotides) under uncultured bacterium. RNAcentral describes it as "bacterial SSU rRNA". It matches the Rfam family "Bacterial small subunit ribosomal RNA", at positions 28 to 414 of the family's 1533-position model. The record is from RNAcentral.
GAUGAACGUUAGCGGCAGGCCUAAUACAUGCAAGUCAAGGGCCAGUAAUGGCACCGGCGGACGGGUGCGUAACGCGUACACAACGGUACCUUUGGGUGGGGGAUAGCAUCGGGAAACUGGUGGUAAUACCCCAUGGUAUUGGAGACUGGCAUCAGUUUCAAUUAAAGACUACGCCCAAAGAUCGGUGUGCGUCUGAUUAGCUAGUUGGUAGGGUAACGGCCUACCAAGGCGACGAUCAGUAGGGGAUGUGAGAGCAUGAUCCCCCACACGGGUACUGAGACACGGACCCGACUCCUACGGGAGGCAGCAGUAAGGAAUAUUGGGACCAAUGGUCCGGAAGACUGAUCCAGCCAUGCCGCGUGAAGGAUGAAGG